RNAcentral lists this transfer RNA (68 nucleotides) under Ennucula tenuis. Its description in RNAcentral is "tRNA-Thr". It matches the Rfam family "tRNA". From Rfam's summary of the family: Transfer RNA (tRNA) molecules are approximately 80 nucleotides in length. Their secondary structure includes four short double-helical elements and three loops (D, anti-codon, and T loops). Further hydrogen bonds mediate the characteristic L-shaped molecular structure. tRNAs have two regions of fundamental functional importance: the anti-codon, which is responsible for specific mRNA codon recognition, and the 3' end, to which the tRNAs corresponding amino acid is attached (by aminoacyl-tRNA synthetases). tRNAs cope with the degeneracy of the genetic code in two manners: having more than one tRNA (with a specific anti-codon) for a particular amino acid; and 'wobble' base-pairing, i.e. permitting non-standard base-pairing at the 3rd anti-codon position. Lineage: Eukaryota; Metazoa; Mollusca; Bivalvia; Nuculida; Nuculidae. The record is from RNAcentral.
GCUAUGAAAGCUCAAUAGUAGCGUUGGUCUUGUAAACCGAAAGGUAGAAUUAUAAAUUCUUCAUAGCU